ACAACUAUCAAUUCAGUUUAGAUUUUCAUUGUAACCAUAAAAAGUUUUUUUUGGUAUAUUUUGAAGUAAUUUAUUUGGCACUUAUUAUUUUGGUUUAACACUUUUCUAGCAUUUGAUAUUGCCUGUUGCUAUAAACGUUCAAUUAUAGGUGCCAUACCUAUAUCCAUAUAAAACAGCUGAUUGAACCAAAUUUAAGGGUAUUUCCAAUUAGUGGUGAGUUACCAUAACAACAUGCCCAUAACCAUAACCACAACUAUCAAUUUCGUUUACCCCUACAACACGAAGCUAACUCAUACACCACUACACAUGCCAAUUUUUUCAGCUUUUACCAAUACAGACACAUUGCUAACAUUUUGUAGUUAAGUGGCAAUCUCGGUAGUUAGAGUAGCAAAAUUCAUUAACCCUAAUUUUUGUAUGUGUAAGAGAGAGAUACAAUGAACCGUUCAAAAAUCGCCGCCAUGGCCGCUGUUCAUUUGAAAAUACAAUUUUAAGUGAAUGGAUUUAUACGUGUUUGCACAGGAAAGGAAGAGCAAGGAGGUGACGUUGGAAUUGGUGGAGGUUUUUGGAUUUAGCACUGGUGCAAUAUACAGCCCUAUUCUGAAAAAACCUCAUAACUGAGUUGUGAGGAAAAAUUUGUGAGUUUUCUUGUGACGUAUAUUUUGUGAGUCUAUUCUGGCUCGAACCUCAUAAGAAAAAAGCUUAGAAAAGUCACCAAUUGAGGUGAAAAGCAUUUUGCUGUCAAACAGUUGUUUCAAAAGAAAUAAAUUCAAAAUAAAUACAAAUUGAUGUAAAAUUUGUAAACAAAUGAAGCAAAUGAAAUUGCGUAUUUACAGUCGAAAGUUAAAAAACAAAAGAAUUAUAAAACAAGUAAGGAAGAUAUGGUUUUUGACCCAUAAGUGGGCGGAACCACGCCCCUUUACAAUUUUGUAUACCAUUUUGAGAGCAGCUCUUCUGAACCAUCUUCACAAUGAAAUUUAAGGUUUCUGGUGGUUUUCUUUACUGAACUUACUGAAUUUUUAGUAAUUUUCAAUAUAACCUUUGUAUGGGAGGUGGGCGUGAUUAUGACCCGAUUUCCUUCAUUUUUGGUCGGUAUAAGGUAGUACCUAAAAGAAACGACUCUAGAAAGUUUCCUUUAUAUAGCUUAAUUAGUUUGCGAGAUAUGUACAAAAAACUUAGUAGUGGGCGGGGCCACGCCCAAUUCCCCAAAAAAAUUACAUCCAAAUAUGCCCCUUCCUAGAACAAUCCUUUGUACCAAAUUUUCGGUUAUCGCCAUUUUGUGGGCGUGGCAGUGGUCCGAUUACGCACAUUUUCGAACUUAACCUUCUUAUGGUGCCAAGAAAUACGUCUUCCAAGUUUCAUCAAGAUAUCUCUAUUUUACUCAAGAUACGGCUUGCACGGACGGACAGACGGACGGACGGACAGACAGACAUCCGGAUUUGAACUUUACUCGUCACCCUGAUCACUUUGGUAUAUAUAAUAAUCUUAUAUCUAACUCGUUUAGUUUUGGGACUUACAAACAACCGUUAUGUGGACAAAACUAUAAUACUCUCGUAGCAACUUUGUUGCGAGAGUAUAAAAAUAACCAGGGUGUAAAUCAUCGUCUGUAGAGGCUGUGCAUCAGUGUCCUUUGCUUUACAAAAAUAAUGCGUCCUUAUCGGAUCGUAGAUGUGGUUGGCAGCAAAUCGCUCAACAAAUGAAAAUGCAAGGUACGUCCGUAUUGCUCCAGAUUCGGUUAAACACAAUUAUUCGAUAACUGAACUUUUAUAGAGGCCAUUUUUUUCAAAGAACAAUUCCUCCAUGCUCGUUAUAGCACGCAAAUAUUUACACAUUUGUUUACAAAUAUUGCUAAAAACCAAAACAAACAGAAAUAUUUUUGUAUUGUGAAGGCUGCUUUCACACGUCACAGAUAUUUGAGAAAAUUGUGAGCAUUUGAGCUUUUGAAUUUUCUCCAGCAUAAGGUAAUCAUCACAAAAUCCAAAAACCUCACAAUAGUGAGUGUGGUGAUUUUUGUGAGGUCAUGAGAAUAGGGCUGAUAGUAUAACAACAACGCAGAAACAAGGGAUAAUAAUAUGAUAUUGAAAACACAAAGGCGUUAGGCGUCAAUUGGUCCUUCCAUCGGAGUGGAGGUCUCCCUCUUCCUCGGCUUCCACCGAGUCCAUUCGAACAACAUGACCAAGGCCGCGUAGCCGCUGUCUUUUUUCGUUGGACUAUGUCUAUGUCGUCUAACAACACAUACAGCUCAUCAUUUCAUCUGCUGCGGUAUUCGCAGAAGAGUUUAGUUUUUGCUCAUCUAGAGAGGACUUUACUUUUCAAUUGCCUACUCAGACCAUAAACACAAAUACAGGUGGAUUACAAUAGCUACUACUUUUCUUAGGCAUGAUAAACAAGACAACAACAAAAUCCCAUCGGACAUUUAGAUUAGCAGUUGCACAACUUCUUUCCGAAGAGCUGAACCUUUUUGUGAUGUACAUGUGGGAUAGGAUUGUAUGGAAUUGACAUUCAUUAGUUUCGUUGGAUCCUUACAGGAUAGUUACAAGGAAAUCGUUCGCGUUUAGUAUUAAUUUAUUCAUUUGCUAAUUCAUAAUUUAGAUGUAAAAUAUUAUUAAAUUAUACAAAUGAAUGUUCGAAUACUAAUAACAUUUUAUUUGAAUUGUAUAACAACAACUACAAAAAAUAGUGUAAUACUUAAUACUAAAUUUAUAUAUGAAAUAUGUAAAAAGUAAAAAUUUAAUAAUUAAUACUAACUUUGUAAAUUUUGUUAAUGUAUAAAUAAAAAUGUAUAA
Molecule: long non-coding RNA, 2783 nt
Organism: Zeugodacus cucurbitae (melon fly)
Lineage: Eukaryota; Metazoa; Arthropoda; Insecta; Diptera; Tephritidae
Exons: 5
Source: RefSeq, a predicted model, not a curated record